GUCCAUGCCACCCAACCCACACCGGAUCUAUCAUCCCAAGCAUCGCAGUUUGAGACCCAGCUGGGUGGUACUCAGUUUGAAGAAAUUUAUGAAAGACAACAACAUAUUCGUAGAGUACUAGAGACUUGUCCUGAUGAAGCGGACGUUGAUACAGGACAUCAGAGAGGUGAAAUGGCAACAGAUGAAAUGGAACACAAUGACAGUGGACCAGUCUUUGAUCAGACCCCAAUGCCUCAUGUUGCAUCUCAGGAUGAUACACUAAAAGGGACAACACUUUCUGGAACUUCUCCACUCCUUACAGAGCUUGAUUGCGUUCGUGCUCUGUGGGAUUUACUCUGUUCCAAGGACAUUGACCAAAGCAGGUUGUCAUAGAUUACGGUGAAUACAGUGGAAACUGUCUCGAUAUUUAUGAAUCUUUCAUAGAGGGGAAGUGUCUUGAGAAUGUCUUCAUGCAGUGCUUCAUUGAGUGUGUUCGUGAUGAUUCCAAAAAUCAUCGUCGAACUAUGACUUCUAAUAGAUUAUUACUUGAUGUCAAUGUUGAGGCUCUGCUAAAUUUUGAAGAGCAGGAACAUCAUAGUAAGAAUCCUCAGCCGUUUGAUCAAAAUGUGUUACAGAAUUGCUUACAUAACACACUGCCUUCGUUGGUAAAUCUGGAUAAAUGCAAGUCGAUAUUGGUACCUAUGCUUAGUAGGGGACAUUGGACACUGUAUGUAAUCAACCUACAACAUCGGUGUAUACACAUUUUAGAUUCGAAUUCGUAUGGUAUAGAACUCGGUGGCACCACAUGGAAGGACUACCAUUAUGACCCAAUCUAUUUAGGUGGAAGGAAAUUCCCAUGGGCUAGGGUUAUAAUGAGUAGGUUGAGCAAAGUGUUACAACAUGUUUGCCCCAAUGCAUCCUUCCCCAAAUUUGGUAACUUUCCAAUGGAUAUGCCAUCAAAUUGCCCAACAAUGAGAAUAGGGUCAAACGACUGUGGCUUUUAUGUAAUGAGUUACAUGAAGUAUUAUGAUCACAAUUCAGGUGUCAUCACUUCUUACACUCAACCAGACAAUUCUCGAGACCUACGUGCUCAUGCCCUAUAUCAUCUCACAUUCCAUCGCAUGAACAAGGCGCUGCCACUACCAAUAGAGAUCCAAAGAUUUAUGUUUGCGCGCAAGUGAGAGCACCUAGAGGGGGGUGAAUAGGUGAUCCUGUAAAAACUUGAAACUUAAA
This is a long non-coding RNA of Zea mays, 1212 nucleotides long. RefSeq lists it as uncharacterized. NCBI's taxonomy places the organism in Eukaryota, Viridiplantae, Streptophyta, Magnoliopsida, Poales, Poaceae. The record is from RefSeq and is a predicted model, not a curated record. The transcript has 7 exons.